UAACCGUAAAGGGAGGCAAGGCGCCCAAGGUGCGGUCCGAUGAUUGGGGUG
This 51-nucleotide ribosomal RNA is filed under the name uncultured bacterium. RNAcentral's name for it is "partial 16S ribosomal RNA". The record is from RNAcentral.